UUUCUUGCCAAAUUCUUUCUCGCAGUUUCUCAGAGACCUUGAAACAAAGAGUCUUUGCUUCUCUGUUUCCCCAGCUUCUCUCUUUUACCAAAAUCCUUUUCCUUUCAAUUUGAUCCUUUCUUGUUUCAAUCUCAUCGUCGUUCUCUCUCUCUCUCUCUCUCUCUCUGCUUGGAUUUUAAUGAAUAAUCAUUUGCUGAAUCGUUGAAUUCCUGCUUGGAAAAAUUUUGAUCAGUUUUUCGCUCUGUGGAAGAAUGCCUUCGAAGCGAAGAAAGGAGAAGUAAACGGGAAGCAAACAGAAAAAAAAAAAAUAGAAUGCGAACGCUUUGUGACGUCUGCGAGAGCGCCGCCGCUAUCCUUUUCUGCGCCGCCGACGAGGCCGCUCUUUGCCGUUCCUGCGACGAAAAGGUUCACAUGUGUAACAAGCUUGCAAGUAGACAUGUGAGAGUUGGGUUAGCAGACCCCAGCGAUGUCCCACGCUGUGAUAUAUGUGAAAAUGCUCCUGCGUUCUUUUAUUGUGAAGUGGAUGGUAGUUCCCUUUGCCUGCAAUGUGAUAUGAUUGUACAUGUUGGAGGUAAACGGACCCAUGGGAGAUAUCUCUUGUUGAGGCAGAGAGUUGAGUUUCCAGGGGAUAAGCCUGGUCGUUUGGACGAACUGGGGUUGCAAACGCUUGAUCCAAACGAAGUAAGGAAGGAUAAGAAUCAGCAGCAACCUAAGCUUGCAGCAAGAGAGAACCAGCAAAAUCAUAGAGUCUCUCCUGUUCCAGUGCUUGAUGGUAAUUCUGAUGGGGAUGGAAAGGUGGGUAAUAAAUUGAUUGAUCUAAAUGCCAAGCCCCAACGAGUGCAUGGUCAAGCUUCAACCAAUCAGGAGCAAGGCAUGGAUAUUUCGAGUGGCAAUAAUCAUGACUCUUCAAGUGUGGUCCCUGUUGGAUCCUUCAAAAGAGAGCCUGAUAAGUGAGCUAGGUGGCGUUUGAAAUACUUGGAAGGUUUUUCUGAGUAGAGCUUGACCUGUUGAGCAGUUCCUUCCUAUUGAAACACAUGAGAAACAGAAAGAUUGACAAUUAGCUGUUUAUGAGUUUUUAACCUAUUGAGUAAGAAUGAGCUUCUGUCUUGGGGGCAAGUUGUGCUAAUAUCUUCCAAGAAAAAUUCUGUCAAAUGCAAGUAAACUUCAUGCAGGGUAAAAAUAACUUUUGAAGCCAAAUGAUGAUGUUGCUGGAUGAUCUCUCACAUCUGUGUAUUUCUUGAGGGCUUGCGGUCCUUGUCAGAUAUAUCUUCCUUCCCCAUGGGUUAGGCUUCUGUCUGUUCCAUUCCUUGCACAAAAAUGAAAACUGUUGAAGAUAAUUUUUACCCAUGUACCUAAAUCAAAUAUUCUUGCCUAACCGAGUAGUGAAGUUGUGACGUUUUUAUUUGUGCCAAUGGAAGUAUACACCCUCGUUAAUGUCCUUUUCAAUUAAAAAUUUCCAUCAAAA
RNA transcript from Theobroma cacao (cacao), 1465 nucleotides. It is a transcript of the gene named B-box zinc finger protein 19, with no coding region annotated. NCBI's taxonomy places the organism in Eukaryota, Viridiplantae, Streptophyta, Magnoliopsida, Malvales, Malvaceae. The record is from RefSeq and is a predicted model, not a curated record.